This is a ribosomal RNA of Danio rerio (zebrafish), 116 nucleotides long. NCBI's taxonomy places the organism in Eukaryota, Metazoa, Chordata, Actinopteri, Cypriniformes, Danionidae. The record is from Ensembl.
UCAUACAGCCAUAUCACCCUGCAGCCCAAGACUGGUUACUUACUGAAGCUAAGCAGGGCUGAGCCUGGUUAGUAACGGGAUGGUAGACCACAUGGGAAAACCAGGUUGCUGCUGAU